UGUGUACUCCCUCCGUUCCAAAAUACUUGACUUCCAUUUGUCCAAAAAUGGAUGUACCUAUAUACUAAGAGAUGUCUAGAUACAUAUAUAUUUUGACAAAUAGAAGGCAUGUAGUAUUGUGCAACGGAGGGAGUAGAAU
Triticum aestivum (bread wheat) is the source of this 139-nucleotide non-coding RNA. The record is from Rfam. Lineage: Eukaryota; Viridiplantae; Streptophyta; Magnoliopsida; Poales; Poaceae.